RNAcentral lists this ribosomal RNA (253 nucleotides) under uncultured bacterium. RNAcentral's name for it is "partial 16S ribosomal RNA". It matches the Rfam family "Bacterial small subunit ribosomal RNA", at positions 524 to 776 of the family's 1533-position model. The record is from RNAcentral.
UACAGAGGGGGCAAGCGUUAUUCGGAAUUACUGGGCGUAAAGGGUGUGUAGGCGGCCUGGCAAGUGGAAGGUGAAAUCCCUCGGCUUAACCGAGGAACUGCCUCCCAAACUGCUUGGCUUGAGACCAGGAGAGGUGAGUGGAAUUCCCAGUGUAGCGGUGAAAUGCGUAGAUAUUGGGAAGAACACCAGUGGCGAAGGCGGCUCGCUGGCCCGUAACUGACGCUGAGGUGCGAAAGCGUGGGGAGCAAACAGG